UACGUAGGGUGCGAGCGUUGUCCGGAAUUACUGGGCGUAAAGAGCUCGUAGGCGGUUUGUCGCGUCGGCUGUGAAAACUCGGGGCUCAACCCCGAGCCUGCAGUCGAUACGGGCAGACUAGAGUGCUGUAGGGGAGACUGGAAUUCCUGGUGUAGCGGUGAAAUGCGCAGAUAUCAGGAGGAACACCGGUGGCGAAGGCGGGUCUCUGGGCAGUAACUGACGCUGAGGAGCGAAAGCGUGGGGAGCGAACAGG
RNAcentral lists this ribosomal RNA (253 nucleotides) under uncultured bacterium. RNAcentral's name for it is "partial 16S ribosomal RNA". It matches the Rfam family "Bacterial small subunit ribosomal RNA", at positions 524 to 776 of the family's 1533-position model. The record is from RNAcentral.